This 2706-nucleotide long non-coding RNA is filed under the name Sus scrofa (pig). RNAcentral describes it as "lncRNA (ENSSSCG00025051094.1)". Lineage: Eukaryota; Metazoa; Chordata; Mammalia; Artiodactyla; Suidae. The record is from RNAcentral.
GGGACCGAGCUGUAGCUUAUUUUCAGCAGGCACCACACUCUUGUUUAAGCAUUCUCUUCCCGCUCUACUCUGCUUCUUAUCCUUCCUCUUCUCCUCAGAGUGCUUUCUUGAUCACUUACAAGAAUCUUCAUCUCAGUCUUGGUGGCACAGGAACCCAACUCAAGACCCCUGGCAUGAGAGGUGGUCUUAAGAAGCCUACGCUGAGGGUGAGAUUCAGGAGCUGCCUCACUUGCUGUCUGGAUGGCAAAUAAGGACCCUGGAGCUGGAGGGCGCACCCAUGGCACAUGGAGGUUCCCAGGCGAGGGGCUGAAUCAGAGCUGUAGCUGCUGGCCUACACAACAGCCACAGCAAUGUGGGAUCCAGUCUCAUCUGCGACCUACACCACAGCUCACGACAAUGCCGGAUCCUUAACCCACUAAGCGAGGCCAGGGAUCAAACCUUCAUCCUCAUGGAUAUCAGUUGGGUUUGUUAACCACUGAGCCACGACAGGAGCUCCUCCUCUGAUUUUUAUUGUUUAUUUCUUCUGCUACCUCUCAUGUUUUCUUGAGUUUUGUUUUUUUUCCUUUUCCACUUCCCUAAGUUAUAAAGGUGGUUUAUUUGAGAUCUUUCUUAUUUUAUAAUGUAAGCAUUAUAGCUAUAUCACCUUUAGCACUGCUUUCAUGUGUUCUCUUCACUUGGGUUUGUUGUGCUUUUGUUUUCACUGAUUUCUAAGUAUUUUCUAAUUUCUCUUGUGAUUUCAUCUUUCAUACAUUGGUUGUUUAGGAAUGUGGUGUUUAAUUUCAACAAAUUUGUGAGCUCUUUUUUUUUCUUCUGUUAUUGAUUGAUAACUUCACCCUGUUGUCAGAAAAUACACUUUGUAAGAGUCUGUCUUUUAAAAUCUAUUGAGACAUAAUUUGUGGCUUGCACUAUGGUCUAUCCUGGACAAUAUUCCAUGUGCACUCGAGAAGAAUAUGUAUUCUGUUAUUGGGCAGAGGCUUUUUGUAUAUGUCUGUUAGAUCCAGUUGGUUUAUACAUUGUAAAGUCCUCUAUUUUUCUCUUCUGUCUUUUUUUUUUUUCUAUCCAUUAUAGAGAGUGGGGUAUUGAAGUCUCCAACUAUUAUUGUAGAACUGUCUAUUUCUCCCUUUAAUCCUGUCAAUUUUUGCAUUAUAUAUUUUGAUAACUUUUAUUUAGUGUAUAAGUAUUUAUAAUCAUUAUAUUCUUGCUAUAUUGAAACUUUUUAAAGUAUAUAAUGUCCUUCUUUGUCUCUUGUAUACUUUUUUUGAUUUAAAGUAUAUUUUAUCUGAUAUUAGAAUAGCCACUCCUGCUUUCUUUUGGUUACUGUUUGCGUGGAAUAUUCUUUUCCAGACUUUUACCGUCAACCUGUUUGUAUCAUUGGAUUUAAAGCAAUGAUAAGCAAAGUCUCUUGUAGACAACGUGUACUUGCGUCAUGUUGUCAUUUAUUCUGCUAUCUAAAUCUUUCAAUAGGGGAAUUUCAUCCAUUUACAUUUAAAUAAUUAUUGCUAUUUUUUUCUAUAUGCCUUAUAGGUUUUUUCUCUAGUUUCCUGCAUUACUAUGUUGUUAUAUUCUUAUGUAUAUUCUUAGUGUCUUUUCAUUUCAGCCUAUAGCACUCCAUUUAGCAUUUUUUUUUUUUGCAUGAAAAAAAUAUAGUGGUUAUAAGCUCCCUUGACUUUUAUUUGGGAAAGUUUUAAUUUCUCCUUCACUUUUGAAAAACAGUUUUGAGAGAUAUAAGAUUCUUUGUUCACUUUUUUUCUAUUAGCACUUUGACUAUAUCAGCUCACUGCCUUUUGGCCUCCAAAAUUUCAGAUAAGAACUGUGCCAAUAAUAUAAUUCAGGAUCUCUUUUAUGUAACAAGUUGCUUCUCUUUUGCUGCAUUCAAAAUUCUGUCUUUGGCUCUUGACAGUUUGAUUAUAAUAUAUCUUGAGUUCAUUCUACUUAGAGUUUGUUGAUCUUCUUGAUGUUUAUAUGCAUGUGUUCAUAAAAAUGUGGGAAGUUUGGGGCCACUAUUUUUUCAAAUAUUCUUUCUGCCCCUUUCUCUAUCUUUUCUUCUUCUGGGAUUCUCACAACAUGUAUGUUGGUUCAUUUGAUAGUGUCUCAAAGAUUUCUUAGGCUCUGUUAACAUUUUCUGAUCUUUUUUCUUUCUGUUCCCUCAGAAUUAGUAAUCAUCUUAUCAUCAACUAAUAUUCAUUCUUGUUCUUGUCUGUUCAAAUCUGCCUUUUAAUCCCUCUGGUAAAAUUUUCAUUUUAGCUACUGUUUUUCUCAGUUCAAAAAUUUCUUUUUUGAUUGUUUUUAGGUUUUCUAUCUCUUUAUUGAUAUUUCUACUUUGUUCAUUAUUUUCUUGACUUUCUCCUUAUCUUCAGGCAGUUCUUGGAGUAUUUUUAAGUCAGUUGUUUUGAAUUCUUUGUUUAGUAGAUCUGCCAAAAGAUCUCUUUCAGAGACACUUUCUGUUGAUUUCCUUUUUCCUUUGAAUGACAUAUCUUCCUGUCUCUUUAUACGCCUGUGAUUUUUAAUUGGAAAUUGAACAUUUGAAUCUAAUAAAAUGAUUCUCUGGGAAUCUGAUUCUCUCCCUUCCCCAUGGUUUACUUUUUUUUUGGGGGGGGGGGUGUAUUCAUUGUUGUAGGCUAUCUCUGUGCCAAGGGGUAAAUUCAAAAUCUUCUCAGGUCUUUUCUGAGCCUGUGCCUUCCCCAGAUAUGGAGAGUGACUUUCUAA